This 253-nucleotide ribosomal RNA is filed under the name uncultured bacterium. Its description in RNAcentral is "partial 16S ribosomal RNA". It matches the Rfam family "Bacterial small subunit ribosomal RNA", at positions 524 to 776 of the family's 1533-position model. The record is from RNAcentral.
UACGUAGGCAGCAAGCGUUGUUCGGAAUUACUGGGCGUAAAGAGUGUGUAGGCGGUGCUCCAAGUCUGGUGUGAAAUCUCCCGGCUCAACUGGGAGGGUGCGCUAGAAACUGGAAUGCUAGAGGAUGGGAGAGGUAAGCGGAAUUCCUGGUGUAGCGGUGAAAUGCGUAGAUAUCAGGAGGAACACCUGUGGUGUAGACAGCUUACUGGACCAUUUCUGACGCUGAGACACGGAAGCGUGGGUAGCAAACAGG